CCCGAAACCCGGUGAUCUAGCCAUGGGCAGGUUGAAGGUUGGGUAACACUAACUGGAGGACCGAACCGACUAAUGUUGAAAAAUUAGCGGAUGACUUGUGGCUGGGGGUGAAAGGCCAAUCAAACCGGGAGAUAGCUGGUUCUCCCCGAAAGCUAUUUAGGUAGCGCCUCGUGAAUUCAUCUCCGGGGGUAGAGCACUGUUUCGGCAAGGGGGUCAUCCCGACUUACCAACCCGAUGCAAACUGCGAAUACCGGAGAAUGUUAUCACGGGAGACACACGGCGGGUGCUAACGUCCGUCGUGAAGAGGGAAACAACCCAGACCGCCAGCUAAGGUCCCAAAGUCAUGGUUAAGUGGGAAACGAUGUGGGAAGGCCCAGACAGCCAGGAUGUUGGCUUAGAAGCAGCCAUCAUUUAAAGAAAGCGUAAUAGCUCACUGGUCGAGUCGGCCUGCGCGGAAGAUGUAACGGGGCUAAACCAUGCACCGAAGCUGCGGCAGCGACGCUGAUGCGUUGUUGGGUAGGGGAGCGUUCUGUAAGCCUGCGAAGGUGUACUGUGAGGUAUGCUGGAGGUAUCAGAAGUGCGAAUGCUGACAUAAGUAACGAUAAAGCGGGUGAAAAGCCCGCUCGCCGGAAGACCAAGGGUUCCUGUCCAACGUUAAUCGGGGCAGGGUGAGUCGACCCCUAAGGCGAGGCCGAAAGGCGUAGUCGAUGGGAAACAGGUUAAUAUUCCUGUACUUGGUGUUACUGCGAAGGGGGGACGGAGAAGGCUAUGUUGGCCGGGCGACGGUUGUCCCGGUUUAAGCGUGUAGGCUGGUUUUCCAGGCAAAUCCGGAAAAUCAAGGCUGAGGCGUGAUGACGAGGCACUACGGUGCUGAAGCAACAAAUGCCCUGCUUCCAGGAAAAGCCUCUAAGCAUCAGGUAACAUCAAAUCGUACCCCAAACCGACACAGGUGGUCAGGUAGAGAAUACCAAGGCGCUUGAGAGAACUCGGGUGAAGGAACUAGGCAAAAUGGUGCCGUAACUUCGGGAGAAGGCACGCUGAUAUGUAGGUGAAGUCCCUCGCGGAUGGAGCUGAAAUCAGUCGAAGAUACCAGCUGGCUGCAACUGUUUAUUAAAAACACAGCACUGUGCAAACACGAAAGUGGACGUAUACGGUGUGACGCCUGCCCGGUGCCGGAAGGUUAAUUGAUGGGGUCAGCGCAAGCGAAGCUCUUGAUCGAAGCCCCGGUAAACGGCGGCCGUAACUAUAACGGUCCUAAGGUAGCGAAAUUCCUUGUCGGGUAAGUUCCGACCUGCACGAAUGGCGUAAUGAUGGCCAGGCUGUCUCCACCCGAGACUCAGUGAAAUUGAACUCGCUGUGAAGAUGCAGUGUACCCGCGGCAAGACGGAAAGACCCCGUGAACCUUUACUAUAGCUUGACACUGAACAUUGAGCCUUGAUGUGUAGGAUAGGUGGGAGGCUUUGAAGUGUGGACGCCAGUCUGCAUGGAGCCGACCUUGAAAUACCACCCUUUAAUGUUUGAUGUUCUAACGUUGACCCGUAAUCCGGGUUGCGGACAGUGUCUGGUGGGUAGUUUGACUGGGGCGGUCUCCUCCUAAAGAGUAACGGAGGAGCACGAAGGUUGGCUAAUCCUGGUCGGACAUCAGGAGGUUAGUGCAAUGGCAUAAGCCAGCUUGACUGCGAGCGUGACGGCGCGAGCAGGUGCGAAAGCAGGUCAUAGUGAUCCGGUGGUUCUGAAUGGAAGGGCCAUCGCUCAACGGAUAAAAGGUACUCCGGGGAUAACAGGCUGAUACCGCCCAAGAGUUCAUAUCGACGGCGGUGUUUGGCACCUCGAUGUCGGCUCAUCACAUCCUGGGGCUGAAGUAGGUCCCAAGGGUAUGGCUGUUCGCCAUUUAAAGUGGUACGCGAGCUGGGUUUAGAACGUCGUGAGACAGUUCGGUCCCUAUCUGCCGUGGGCGCUGGAGAACUGAGGGGGGCUGCUCCUAGUACGAGAGGACCGGAGUGGACGCAUCACUGGUGUUCGGGUUGUCAUGCCAAUGGCACUGCCCGGUAGCUAAAUGCGGAAGAGAUAAGUGCUGAAAGCAUCUAAGCACGAAACUUGCCCCGAGAUGAGUUCUCCCUGACUCCUUGAG
Molecule: ribosomal RNA, 2131 nt
Filed under: Escherichia coli
Lineage: Bacteria; Pseudomonadati; Pseudomonadota; Gammaproteobacteria; Enterobacterales; Enterobacteriaceae
Description: partial 23S ribosomal RNA
Rfam family: Bacterial large subunit ribosomal RNA
Source: RNAcentral